UGGAGAGUUUGAUCCUGGCUCAGAUUGAACGCUGGCGGCAGGCCUAACACAUGCAAGUCGAGCGGAUGAAGAGAGCUUGCUCUCUGAUUCAGCGGCGGACGGGUGAGUAAUGCCUAGGAAUCUGCCUGAUAGUGGGGGACAACGUUUCGAAAGGAACGCUAAUACCGCAUACGUCCUACGGGAGAAAGCAGGGGACCUUCGGGCCUUGCGCUAUCAGAUGAGCCUAGGUCGGAUUAGCUAGUUGGUGAGGUAACGGCUCACCAAGGCGACGAUCCGUAACUGGUCUGAGAGGAUGAUCAGUCACACUGGAACUGAGACACGGUCCAGACUCCUACGGGAGGCAGCAGUGGGGAAUAUUGGACAAUGGGCGAAAGCCUGAUCCAGCCAUGCCGCGUGUGUGAAGAAGGUCUUCGGAUUGUAAAGCACUUUAAGUUGGGAGGAAGGGCAUUAACCUAAUACGUUAGUGUUUUGACGUUACCGACAGAAUAAGCACCGGCUAACUUCGUGCCAGCAGCCGCGGUA
This 522-nucleotide ribosomal RNA is filed under the name Stutzerimonas stutzeri. Its description in RNAcentral is "bacterial SSU rRNA". It matches the Rfam family "Bacterial small subunit ribosomal RNA", at positions 1 to 522 of the family's 1533-position model. Lineage: Bacteria; Pseudomonadati; Pseudomonadota; Gammaproteobacteria; Pseudomonadales; Pseudomonadaceae. The record is from RNAcentral.